This 253-nucleotide ribosomal RNA is filed under the name uncultured bacterium. RNAcentral's name for it is "partial 16S ribosomal RNA". It matches the Rfam family "Bacterial small subunit ribosomal RNA", at positions 524 to 776 of the family's 1533-position model. The record is from RNAcentral.
UACGUAGGGUGCGAGCGUUAAUCGGAAUUACUGGGCGUAAAGCGUGCGUAGGCGGUCCACGAAGUCUGAUGUGAAAGCCCCGGGCUCAACCUGGGAACUGCAUUGGAAACUAACGGGCUCGAGUGUGGCAGAGGGGGGUGGAAUUCCACGUGUAGCAGUGAAAUGCGUAGAGAUGUGGAGGAACACCGAUGGCGAAGGCAGCCCCCUGGGCUAACACUGACGCUCAGGCACGAAAGCGUGGGGAGCAAACAGG